AUAUUACUAAGCGGAGGAAAAGAAUUUAACAAAGAUUACCUUAGUAAGGGCGACUGAACCGGUAAAAGCUCGAAAUUGGAAUCGGAGAUUCAAUGAAUCUUCGAAUUGUAAUCAGGUCCGCCUAAAUACAAGAAUUCAUCUAAGUAUGUCGAAACAUACGCCAGAGAGGGUGAAAGCCCCGUGUGAUGUUUUCUUGCUUAAGGGGGAUUCAACAAGAGUCGGGUUGCUUGGAACUGCAGCCCUAAGUGGGAGAUAUGAAUCUUCCAAAGCUAAAUAUGGAUGGGAGACCGAUAGCGCACAAGUA
Molecule: ribosomal RNA, 304 nt
Filed under: uncultured eukaryote
Lineage: Eukaryota
Description: partial large subunit ribosomal RNA
Rfam family: Eukaryotic large subunit ribosomal RNA
Source: RNAcentral